ACUCCUACGGGAGGGCAGCAGUGGGAAUGAUUGCAACAAUGGGCGCAAGCCUGAUGCAGCCAUGCCGCGUGUGUGAAGAAGGCCUUCGGGUUGAUAAGCACUUUCAGUAAGGAGGAAAGGGUUAGUAGUUAAUACCUGCUAGCUGUGACUGUUACUUACAGAAGAAGCACCGGCUAACUCCGUGCCAGCAGCCGCGGUAAUACGGAGGGUGCGAGCGUUAAUCGGAAUUACUGGGCGUAAAGCGUACGCAGGCGGUUUGUUAAGCGAGAUGUGAAAGCCCGGCUCAG
This 287-nucleotide ribosomal RNA is filed under the name uncultured bacterium. RNAcentral describes it as "partial 16S ribosomal RNA". It matches the Rfam family "Bacterial small subunit ribosomal RNA", at positions 335 to 612 of the family's 1533-position model. The record is from RNAcentral.